Molecule: ribosomal RNA, 915 nt
Filed under: Steccherinum ochraceum
Lineage: Eukaryota; Fungi; Basidiomycota; Agaricomycetes; Polyporales; Steccherinaceae
Description: LSU rRNA
Rfam family: Eukaryotic large subunit ribosomal RNA
Source: RNAcentral
GCAUAUCAAUAAGCGGAAGGAAAAAGAAACUAACAAGGAUUUUCCCCUAGUAAACUGCGAGUGAAGCGGGAAAAGCUCAAAUUUAAAAUCUGGCAGCUUUGGCUGUCCGAGUUGUAGUCUGGAGAAGCGUUUUCUGUGCUGGACCGUGUACAAGUCUCUUGGAAUAGAGCGUCAUAGAGGGUGAGAAUCCCGUCUUUGACACGGACUGCCAGUGCUAUGUGAUGCGCUCUCAAAGAGUCGAGUUGUUUGGGAAUGCAGCUCAAAAUGGGUGGUAAAUUCCAUCUAAAGCUAAAUAUUGGCGAGAGACCGAUAGCGAACAAGUACCGUGAGGGAAAGAUGAAAAGCACUUUGGAAAGAGAGUUAAACAGUACGUGAAAUUGUUGAAAGGGAAACGAUUGAAGUCAGUCGCGUCUUCUAGAACUCAGCCUGGCUUUUGCUUGGUGCAUUUUCUAGUGACGGGCCAGCAUCAGUUUCGACCGCUGGAUAAAGGCUUCGGGAAUGUGGCACCUUCGGGUGUGUUAUAGCCCGGAGUCACAUACAGCGGUUGGGACUGAGGAUCACAGCAUGCCUUUUGGCCGGGGUUCGCCCACGUUCAUGCUUAGGAUGCUGGCGUAAUGGCUUUAAACGACCCGUCUUGAAACACGGACCAAGGAGUCUAACAUGCCUGCGAGUGUUUGGGUGGUAAACCCGAGCGCGUAAUGAAAGUGAAAGUUGGGAUCCCUGUCGUGGGGAGCACCGACGCCCGGACCAGACCUUCUGUGACGGAUCCGCGGUAGAGCAUGUAUGUUGGGACCCGAAAGAUGGUGAACUAUGCCUGAAUAGGGUGAAGCCAGAGGAAACUCUGGUGGAGGCUCGUAGCGAUUCUGACGUGCAAAUCGAUCGUCGAAUUUGGGUAUAGGGCGAAAGACUAAUCGA